UACGAAGGGGGCUAGCGUUGUUCGGAUUUACUAGGCGUAAAGCGCGCGUAGGCGGGCUUGUAAGUUGGGGGUGAAAGCCCGGGGCUCAACCCCGGAAUUGCCUUCGAGACUGCAGGCCUGGAGGUCUGGAGAGGCGAGUGGAAUUGCGAGUGUAGAGGUGAAAUUCGUAGAUAUUCGGAGGAACACCAGUGGCGAAGGCGACUCGCUGGCCAUAUAGUGACGCUGAGGUGCGAAAGCGUGGGGAGCAAACAGG
This 253-nucleotide ribosomal RNA is filed under the name uncultured bacterium. RNAcentral describes it as "partial 16S ribosomal RNA". It matches the Rfam family "Bacterial small subunit ribosomal RNA", at positions 524 to 776 of the family's 1533-position model. The record is from RNAcentral.